RNAcentral lists this ribosomal RNA (765 nucleotides) under uncultured Streptococcus sp. Its description in RNAcentral is "bacterial SSU rRNA". It matches the Rfam family "Bacterial small subunit ribosomal RNA", at positions 28 to 776 of the family's 1533-position model. Lineage: Bacteria; Bacillati; Bacillota; Bacilli; Lactobacillales; Streptococcaceae. The record is from RNAcentral.
GACGAACGCUGGCGGCGUGCCUAAUACAUGCAAGUAGAACGCUGAAGAGAGGAGCUUGCUCUUCUUGGAAGAGUUGCGAACGGGUGAGUGACGCGUAGGUAACCUGCCUUGUAGCGGGGGAUAACUAUUGGAAACGAUAGCUAAUACCGCAUAACAAUGGGUGACCCAUGUCAUUCAUUUGAAAGGGGCAAAUGCUCCACUACAAGAUGGACCUGCGUUGUAUUAGCUAGUAGGUGAGGUAACGGCUCACCUAGGCGACGAUACAUAGCCGACCUGAGAGGGUGAUCGGCCACACUGGGACUGAGACACGGCCCAGACUCCUACGGGAGGCAGCAGUAGGGAAUCUUCGGCAAUGGGGGCAACCCUGACCGAGCAACGCCGCGUGAGUGAAGAAGGUUUUCGGAUCGUAAAGCUCUGUUGUAAGUCAAGAACGAGUGUGAGAGUGGAAAGUUCACACUGUGACGGUAGCUUACCAGAAAGGGACGGCUAACUACGUGCCAGCAGCCGCGGUAAUACGUAGGUCCCGAGCGUUGUCCGGAUUUAUUGGGCGUAAAGCGAGCGCAGGCGGUUUGAUAAGUCUGAAGUUAAAGGCUGUGGCUCAACCAUAGUUCGCUUUGGAAACUGUCAAACUUGAGUGCAGAAGGGGAGAGUGGAAUUCCAUGUGUAGCGGUGAAAUGCGUAGAUAUAUGGAGGAACACCGGUGGCGAAAGCGGCUCUCUGGUCUGUAACUGACGCUGAGGCUCGAAAGCGUGGGGAGCGAACAGG